AAUAGAUACCCCGGUAGUCCUAGCUAUAAACCGAUGCAUACUAGGUGUAGGAGGGCUCAACCCUUUCUGUACCGGAGCUAACGCAUUAAGUAUGCCGCCUGGGGAGUACGCUCGCAAGGGUGAAACUCAAAAGAAUUGACGGGGGCCCGCACAAGCAGUGGAGCAUGUGGUUUAAUUCGAUGCAACGCGAAGAACCUUACCUGGGCUCGAAAUGCAGAACGCGACACUAGAGAUAGUGUUUUCCGUAAGGAGUUUUGUAUAGGUGCUGCAUGGCUGUCGUCAGCUCGUGCCGUGAGGUGUUUGGUUAAGUCCAGCAACGAGCGCAACCCUUAUCGUUAGUUACCAGCGCGUAAUGGCGGGAACUCUAGCGAGACUGCCUAGGUUAACUAGGAGGAAGGUGAGGAUGACGUCAAGUCCGCAUGGCCUUUAUGUCCAGGGCUACACACGUGCUACAAUGGUCGAUACAGAAGGCAGCGAAACCGUGAGGUGAAGCAAAUCCUGAAAAGUCGAUCUCAGUUCAGAUU
RNAcentral lists this ribosomal RNA (524 nucleotides) under uncultured bacterium. Its description in RNAcentral is "bacterial SSU rRNA". It matches the Rfam family "Bacterial small subunit ribosomal RNA", at positions 777 to 1299 of the family's 1533-position model. The record is from RNAcentral.